This is an RNA transcript of Tripterygium wilfordii, 1203 nucleotides long. It is a transcript of the gene named 2-dehydro-3-deoxyphosphooctonate aldolase 1, with no coding region annotated. Lineage: Eukaryota; Viridiplantae; Streptophyta; Magnoliopsida; Celastrales; Celastraceae. The transcript has 14 exons. The record is from RefSeq and is a predicted model, not a curated record.
GGACUGUUUCUAAUUCUCUCACCGUCAGCUACUCACACAGUCUCGCCUCUUGAGAAUUCUGAUCCCUCCUCGGCUCCUCUUGUUUUGUCAUAUAUCUUCCGAGCCAUCGCCGGCGACUAAUUGGCAGCUUCCGUUGUAUUUUCUGAGUUGUGGAUAUGGAUUCAUCAACACUACUAUUUCAGCAUCUCAAGGCAGCGGAACCAUUUUUCCUAUUAGCGGGCCCUAAUGUGAUUGAAUCCGAGGAGCACAUUCUGAGGAUGGCGAAGCACAUCAAGCAUGUGGCAGCCAAAGUUGGUUUGCCACUAGUUUUCAAAUCUAGCUUUGACAAAGCUAACAGAACGUCCUCAAAAUCUUUUCGUGGUCCGGGCAUGGCUGAAGGCUUGAAGAUCUUAGAGAAAGUUAAAAUAGCAUAUGACAUCCCCAUUGUCACUGAUGUGCAUGAAAGUAUUCAGUGUGAAACAGUUGGCCAAGUUGCAGAUAUCAUACAAAUUCCAGCAUUUUUAUGUCGCCAGACAGAUCUGCUGGUCGCAGCAGCGAAGACUGGAAAAAUUAUCAAUAUCAAGAAGGGACAGUUUUGUGCUCCUUCAGUUAUGGAGAAUUCUGCUGAGAAAGUCAGAUUGGCUGGAAAUCCAAAUGUCAUGGUUUGUGAGAGAGGAACAAUGUUUGGCUAUAAUGAUUUGAUUGUUGAUCCACGCAAUUUAGAGUGGAUGAGAGAAGCUAAUUGUCCAGUUGUGGCUGACAUCACACAUUCAUUGCAACAGCCAGCGGGGAAGAAGUUGGAUGGUGGAGGUGUUGCUAGUGGAGGUCUCCGUGAAUUGAUCCCUUGCAUAGCAAGGACAGCAGUUGCUGUUGGGGUGGAUGGUAUCUUUAUGGAGGUUCACGAUGAUCCUCUGAAUGCCCCAGUCGAUGGUCCAACACAAUGGCCUCUACGCAAUUUGGAGGAACUGCUGCAAGAACUCGUGGCAAUAGCAAGAGUAAGCAAGGGGAAGAAACGCAUGAGCAUUGAUCUCACACCAUUCCAUGAUUAGAAAGAGCUUGGGAGCUUUGAGCUUGCUAAAGGCAAGUCAAUAACGAUGUUGAAUGAUAAGUCAUUUUGUUUCACACUUUGUAUUGAGGAACUUAAAAAAAAAAAAUUCUUUAUGUAUGCUACUCUGCAGCUGAAUUUUGUUGUUAUUUUUUACGAGAAACGCUAAGUAUCAGCUA